AUAAGUCCUAUUUGAAGAGGCUCAUACACGGAACGUCUGGAAAUAAUACCGGGAGCGGGAGAUUCAAUUAACCGAGAUUCCGAAGUUGAAAUUUCUCCUCGACCGUCAAUAGGUUUAGCUAGGGCAUUUACAACACGACCCAAAUUAACCGAGAUUCCGAAGUUGAAAUUUCUCCUCGACCGUCAAUAGGUUUAGCUAGGGCAUUUACAACACGACCCAAAUAACCCUCACUUACUGGUAUCUGAGCAAUUCUUCCUGUUGCUUUUACGAAACUUCCCUCUUGUAUCAUCA
Molecule: long non-coding RNA, 291 nt
Filed under: Lathyrus oleraceus (garden pea)
Lineage: Eukaryota; Viridiplantae; Streptophyta; Magnoliopsida; Fabales; Fabaceae
Description: Pisum sativum (pea) long non-coding RNA (PSAT_LNC035225)
Source: RNAcentral